This 630-nucleotide ribosomal RNA is filed under the name uncultured bacterium. RNAcentral's name for it is "bacterial SSU rRNA". It matches the Rfam family "Bacterial small subunit ribosomal RNA", at positions 236 to 866 of the family's 1533-position model. The record is from RNAcentral.
UAUGAUUAGCUAGUUGGUGAGGUAACGGCUCACCAAGGCAACGAUCAUUAGGGGUUCUGAGAGGAAGGUCCCCCACACUGGUACUGAGACACGGACCAGACUCCUACGGGAGGCAGCAGUGAGGAAUAUUGGUCAAUGGGCGAGAGCCUGAACCAGCCAUGUCGCGUGAAGGAAGAAUGUCCUAUGGAUUGUAAACUUCUUUUAUACAGGAAUAAAGUGUACUACGUGUAGUAUUUUGUAUGUACUGUAUGAAUAAGGAUCGGCUAACUCCGUGCCAGCAGCCGCGGUAAUACGGAGGAUCCGAGCGUUAUCCGGAUUUAUUGGGUUUAAAGGGUGCGUAGGCGGGCUGAUAAGUCAGUGGUGAAAGUUUGCAGCUUAACUGUAAAAUUGCCAUUGAAACUGUUAGUCUUGAGUACAGUAGAGGUAGGCGGAAUGUGUAGUGUAGCGGUGAAAUGCAUAGAUAUUACACAGAACACCAAUUGCGUAGGCAGCUUACUGGAGUGUCACUGACGCUGAGGCACGAUAGCGUGGGGAUCAAACAGGAUUAGAUACCCUGGUAGUCCACGCCGUAAACGAUGAUUACUAACUGUUUGCGAUAUAAUGUAAGUGGUACAGAGAAAUCGUUAAGUA